AGAGUUUGAUCCUGGCUUAGGAUGAACGCUAGCUACAGGCUUAACACAUGCAAGUCGAGGGGCAGCAUGUUGGUUGCUUGCAACCAAUGAUGGCGACCGGCGCACGGGUGAGUAACGCGUAUCCAACCUACCCUUGUCCAUCGGAUAACCCGUCGAAAGGCGGCCUAACACGAUAUGCGGUUCUCAGCAGGCAUCUAACGAGAACGAAAUGUGAAGGAGAAGGAUGGGGAUGCGUCUGAUUAGCUUGUUGGCGGGGUAACGCCACCAAGGCGACGAUCAGUAGGGGUUCUGAGAGGAAGGUCCCCCANAUUGGAACUGAGACACGGUCCAAACUCCUACGGGAGGCA
This 347-nucleotide ribosomal RNA is filed under the name uncultured bacterium. RNAcentral's name for it is "bacterial SSU rRNA". It matches the Rfam family "Bacterial small subunit ribosomal RNA", at positions 8 to 350 of the family's 1533-position model. The record is from RNAcentral.